GGAAGAUUCGCCAAACUGGUAUGGCAGCGGUCUAGAAAACCGACAUGGAGGUCAGCGAUGGUCUCUUGGGGGUUCGAGUCCUCCAUCUUCCGCCA
RNAcentral lists this transfer RNA (95 nucleotides) under Oscillospiraceae bacterium. RNAcentral describes it as "tRNA-Ser". It matches the Rfam family "tRNA". From Rfam's summary of the family: Transfer RNA (tRNA) molecules are approximately 80 nucleotides in length. Their secondary structure includes four short double-helical elements and three loops (D, anti-codon, and T loops). Further hydrogen bonds mediate the characteristic L-shaped molecular structure. tRNAs have two regions of fundamental functional importance: the anti-codon, which is responsible for specific mRNA codon recognition, and the 3' end, to which the tRNAs corresponding amino acid is attached (by aminoacyl-tRNA synthetases). tRNAs cope with the degeneracy of the genetic code in two manners: having more than one tRNA (with a specific anti-codon) for a particular amino acid; and 'wobble' base-pairing, i.e. permitting non-standard base-pairing at the 3rd anti-codon position. The record is from RNAcentral. Lineage: Bacteria; Bacillati; Bacillota; Clostridia; Eubacteriales; Oscillospiraceae.